AUUGAACGCUGGCGGAAUGCUUUACACAUGCAAGUCGAACGGCAGCACGGGGCAACCUGGUGGCGAGUGGCGAACGGGUGAGUAAUACAUCGGAACGUGCCCAGUCGUGGGGGAUAACGUAGCGAAAGUUACGCUAAUACCGCAUACGAUCUAUGGAUGAAAGCGGGGGAUCGCAAGACCUCGCGCGAUUGGAGCGGCCGAUGUCAGAUUAGGUAGUUGGUGGGGUAAAGGCCUACCAAGCCGACGAUCUGUAGCUGGUCUGAGAGGACGACCAGCCACACUGGGACUGAGACACGGCCCAGACUCCUACGGGAGGCAGCAGUGGGGAAUCUUGCACAAUGGGCGAAAGCCUGAUGCAGCGACGCCGCGUGGAGGAUGAAGGCCUUCGGGUUGUAAGGACUCUUUCGUCAAGGGAAGAAAACUUAAUACCUCUAACAUAGGAUGAGGUUGACGGUACCUUGAUAAGAAGCACCGGCUAACUACGUAGCCAGCAGCCGAC
RNAcentral lists this ribosomal RNA (499 nucleotides) under uncultured bacterium. RNAcentral's name for it is "bacterial SSU rRNA". It matches the Rfam family "Bacterial small subunit ribosomal RNA", at positions 30 to 518 of the family's 1533-position model. The record is from RNAcentral.